This 460-nucleotide ribosomal RNA is filed under the name uncultured bacterium. RNAcentral describes it as "partial 16S ribosomal RNA". It matches the Rfam family "Bacterial small subunit ribosomal RNA", at positions 338 to 795 of the family's 1533-position model. The record is from RNAcentral.
CCUACGGGGGGCAGCAGUGAGGAAUAUUGGUCAAUGGACGAGAGUCUGAACCAGCCAAGUAGCGUGAAGGAUGACUGCCCUAUGGGUUGUAAACUUCUUUUAUAUGGGAAUAAAAUGUUCCACGUGUGGGAUUUUGUAUGUACCAUAUGAAUAAGGAUCGGCUAACUCCGUGCCAGCAGCCGCGGUAAUACGGAGGAUCCGAGCGUUAUCCGGAUUUAUUGGGUUUAAAGGGAGCGUAGGUGGAUUGUUAAGUCAGUUGUGAAAGUUUGCGGCUCAACCGUAAAAUUGCAGUUGAAACUGGCAGUCUUGAGUACAGUAGAGGUGGGCGGAAUGCCUGGUGUAGCGGUGAAAUGCUUAGAUAUCACGAAGAACUCCGAUUGCGAAGGCAGUUCACUGGACUGCAACUGACACUGAGGCUCGAAAGUGUGGGUAUCAAACAGGAUUAGAUACCCGUGUAGUC